Toxotes jaculatrix (banded archerfish) is the source of this 2602-nucleotide RNA transcript. It is a transcript of the gene named histamine receptor H2a, with no coding region annotated. The transcript is spliced from 5 exons. NCBI's taxonomy places the organism in Eukaryota, Metazoa, Chordata, Actinopteri, Toxotidae. The record is from RefSeq and is a predicted model, not a curated record.
GGGAGCAGAACAGCGGGGGCAGUCGUCACAGAAGAAGAAAAGCAGCACUGACGUGUCACUACAGCCAUAGAAGAUGGUGCCAAAGCCAAAGUGAUGCGAUGGACCACUUUGAAUCAGCCACUCACACAGAAAGCUGUUCAGCAGCCAUCACAGACAUUUCAACAGCCAAGCAUAGUGGUGAUUUCCAGUUCUCAAGAGACCAAUGCUGUUCAACCAACUUCUUGCAAGAGUUUUUUGAUGAAUAUUGUCCAAAGUGUGAAUGGGAAAAAUGGUGUAGUCAAGUCACAAAUCAAGAGGUUUGAAAGCUAUGGUUAGUAGACCUAAAAUCCAACAAGAACAGCAAGCAGUCAAGUAAACAGGGGGGUUACAUGUGACCAAAAUCUUAAGUCACAUUUGACCAUGAAUACAUCGAAACACCUUAAUAAAGGGAAGCACCGAAACAAUCUGAGUGAACAUACUUAAUAACGUUUUAUGUCAUCUUAAGGCUUAUUCGGUGUAAGUCUUUUUCUCAUCUGGUUUAAAACUGCAGAGAAAACAUUACAAUGGUUCAUACAAAGCUCCAGCCAUGAUGUCAUCUCAUUGUUUCCAGUGAAGCUUCAGCAAUAAUGUUGUCAAAAGUGAUGCUGGGUGUCGUCCUGUCCCUCCUCACCCUUCUGACUAUUGGUGGCAAUGUGCUGGUGUGCCUGGCUGUCUGUGCCUCUCGACGCCUCCGCUGCCUCACUAACUGCUUCAUUGUGUCGCUGGCUGUGACAGACCUGCUGCUUGGCCUCUUGGUCCUCCCUUUCUCUGCCCUUCUGCAGCUCAACAAUGAGUGGCCGCUCGGCCCGGUCUUCUGUAACUUCUACAUCUCCAUGGAUGUCAUGCUGUGCACUGCCUCCAUCCUCACCCUCCUGGCUAUCAGCGUGGACCGCUACUUGGCAGUGACCAUGCCUUUGAGAUAUGCCUCAAUUGUGUUGCCAUGGAGAGUUGCAGUGGCCAUGGCCACUGUUUGGACUGUGUCUGUGGCUGUGUCUUUCUUGCCUAUUCAAAUGGGGUGGAACACUGUUAAUGGGACAGUGCAGAACCAUGGGCCUUUUGCUCCAGAAAGGAAAUGUCGUUUUGAGUUGAACAGACCCUACGUACUGACUGACUCUCUCCUUACUUUCUACCUACCAUUGGUGGCUAUGUGCUGGACCUACCUUCGAAUACUUCGUAUUGCACGGGCACAGGCCAAGCGCAUUAUCAGUGCCCGACCCACUUGCAUCACUAGCUACAACUACAGGAAUAAUCCCUCUACCAGUACCACUAUGGUUUCCAGUGUUACAGUAGUGGCUCUGCGGGAACACAAAGCCACAGUGACACUUGCAGCAGUAAUAGGGGCUUUUGUCGUGUGCUGGCUGCCUUAUUUCAUCCUGUUCACAGUGUUGGGCCUAAAGGAGCACCCGGACCCUAGCACUGUACCAGCAUUUCCCAUUGUGUUGUGGCUGGGUUACACCAACUCAGCCCUCAAUCCUAUCCUCUAUGGAGCCCUCAACAGGGACUUCAGGUCAGCCUACGCCCAUCUACUGAGAUGUCGAUGCCCUACUUCCAGUGGAUGGAGGAGCCGACAGCCGUCUCCCACUGUAACAUCAGCCAGAGAACAGCUUACAGAGGUGACAUUGCUGUGUGGCCACACCCCUGCCACAUGCAGGGCAGGCCUGACAGAUCAAAACGUCAUGCUUCAAGAAAUGAACAGUAGGACAACCACAGCAACUAUCCAGCUGGCAAAUGGCACUGCUGCCACAGAUGUCAAUGGCAAUGAAAGGUCAUGCUGAGCCCGUGCAGGUGAGGUGGAUGGUGUGUUCAUACAACCAGAAUCCAUCUUGAAGAGAACACACGACAUACAGACAAAAAGACGGACCGAGAUUUACAGCCCCUCUAUUUGGAAGCUUUCAGUGCCACAGCAGAAGCACACAAUACACCAUCACUCACUCUAUCCAUAAGUCAAAAAAAAAACAAAAAAACUGAGAAAACAGGACCUCAGCAACUCCACACCUCAUCACCAAGAAGCAACUGUGCGCACACAGCCAGCCUCAAUCCAUCCAAGACCGGACAAAUGAAGACGCUUCAACGUGGAUGAAGUUAAAAACUCAAAUAGUCAAACAGUUAGUCCACUGCAUCAUCACACAGGGCACCAACUGGCCCUGACAUGCUCUUGAAGAGCUCUGGAAGAGUAUAUGACCCCAGCCAAUUAACUUGCAGGUCACCAAUCUCAUGAACUACACUUUUUAUGCUAACUCAAGACUGCACUCCAGUGGAAACACAAAGUAUCACAACUUGAACAAAGUAAAUGGACUGAUAAUUAAAAAUGGGUGUUUGACAAAAUCAGAGAAUGGAAAGGUAAAAGUGAUAAAUGGACUUAUGAAUGUGUUGAACUGUAUGACAUUUGAAUGUGGAGCAUGCAAACUAAUGUUAUGUGUCGAAGAAUGUAGCUGCCUCCAGACUUUGUCUUUAUUGUUGCUCAUUCACUGGCAUAAAGCUGGCAAAUGUAUGUAUUGUAUGAUACUAUAAAAAUAACAGAGGACUAAAAAAAAUGGCAUGAACGCUUCCUCUAAAACAGAACAUUACAACCAAACUGUACCAA